RNAcentral lists this long non-coding RNA (391 nucleotides) under Elaeis guineensis (African oil palm). RNAcentral's name for it is "long non-coding RNA (EGUI_LNC075271)". The record is from RNAcentral. Lineage: Eukaryota; Viridiplantae; Streptophyta; Magnoliopsida; Arecales; Arecaceae.
GCAGGAGAAAAUCGACUUCCUCAAGGUAACGAGAAGUUCGAGCUCCCAAGCUCGAGCACCAGGAGGAAGCAUCAAACUCAAGUGGCCUCGAAAAGAUCUUCGGUCAUGAACAAAAAAGGGCAAAUCAACGCGGCGACGAUCAGAAACUUUCAAACAACGUCAACAUCAAACAAGACAAAAGAUGAAAGAAACUCGAUAAACAACAACUCAAAGUAAGAAUAGACAAGGUAAUGAAAAAUUUUUUUCUCAUUUCAUUAGUAAAGUGUGCAUUACAAAGCCUUUGAAGGCCAAAAAUGAAAAGCGACAAGAAAAGAAUGCAUGGAAGAACAAAAGAUAAAAGAAGCUCUAAGGAAGCUCGGCUCCUUCCGACUUCGAGCUCUCGGUUCCAGUC